GGAUUGUGGCUCAGUGGUACAGCACUCGCCUAGCAUGUGUGAGGCACUGGGUUGGAUCCUCAGCACCA
Molecule: transfer RNA, 68 nt
Filed under: Marmota monax (woodchuck)
Lineage: Eukaryota; Metazoa; Chordata; Mammalia; Rodentia; Sciuridae
Description: tRNA.Ala
Source: RNAcentral